This 529-nucleotide long non-coding RNA is filed under the name Homo sapiens (human). RNAcentral describes it as "HSALNT0039093". The record is from RNAcentral. Lineage: Eukaryota; Metazoa; Chordata; Mammalia; Primates; Hominidae.
GCUUGAUUUCAUCAUUCCACAAUGUAUACAUAUUUCAGAACAUCAUGUUGGACACCAUAAACAUCUGUCAAUUAAAAAAAUUUAAAAGAGAUAGAAUGGGAUGAGCACUCUAGGAAGAGCACUUUGCAAGUGCAAAGGCCCUGAGGUAGGAGGUGCAGUUCUGUUUAUUAGUGGAGGGUAGGCUGAUGGGACUGGCAUGGACCAAAUGGGACAGGUGUGAGAGACAGGCCAGAGAAGUGACAGGCGGGAUAGAUGAGGGGAGCUCCAGGUGGACAUAAAUCAUCCUGUUUAAUUUGUCCUUUGUUGUGACCAAGACAGGGAGUUAGAGGAAAGUUCUGAACUGAGGAGUGACAUGACCUGAGUCACAUUUUAACAGGAUCCCUCUGGCUGCUUCACUGGGAAAUACCAGAAGGAAGAGGUGCUCAGAAGUUAGGAAGCUAUUACAAUAAUCCAGGCAAGUCGGAACAGAUGUUGUUUUUGGUGAUGUAAGUUACCAGGGUUGGGGGUCUGAUCUGGAGGAACUGGGAGG